RNAcentral lists this ribosomal RNA (481 nucleotides) under uncultured bacterium. Its description in RNAcentral is "partial 16S ribosomal RNA". It matches the Rfam family "Bacterial small subunit ribosomal RNA", at positions 28 to 523 of the family's 1533-position model. The record is from RNAcentral.
GACGAACGCUGGCGGCGUGCUUAACACAUGCAAGUCGAACGGUGACGGAGAGCUUGCUCUCCUGAUCAGUGGCGAACGGGUGAGUAACACGUGGGCAACCUGCCCCAGACUUCGGGAUAACGCUUCGAAAGAGGUGCUAAUACCGAAUACGAACGCCGUGGGCAUCCACGGUGUUGGAAAGUUCUUCGGUCUGGGAUGGGCCCGCGGCCUAUCAGCUUGUUGGUGAGGUAAUGGCUCACCAAGGCGACGACGGGUAGCCGGCCUGAGAGGGCGACCGGCCACACUGGGACUGAGACACGGCCCAGACUCCUACGGGAGGCAGCAGUGGGGAAUAUUGCGCAAUGGGCAAAAGCCUGACGCAGCAACGCCGCGUGGGGGACGAAGGCCUUCGGGUUGUAAACCUCUUUCAGCAGGGAAGAAGCGAAAGUGACGGUACCUGCAGAAGAAGCACCGGCUAACUACGUGCCAGCCGCCGCCGUAA